GACGAACGCUGGCGGCGCGCCUAACACAUGCAAGUCGAACGGAGCUUGCCUAUCUGAUCCUUUCGGGGUGACGACUUGUAAGCUUAGUGGCGAACGGGUGAGUAACACGUGAGUAACCUGCCCCAGAGUGGGGGACAACAGUCGGAAACGACUGCUAAUACCGCAUGAUACAUUUGGGCGGCAUCGCUUGAAUGUCAAAGAUUUUAUCGCCGAAAGAUGGCCUCGCGUCUGAUUAGAUAGUUGGCGGGGUAACGGCCCACCAAGUCGACGAUCAGUAGCCGGACUGAGAGGUUGACCGGCCACAUUGGGACUGAGAUACGGCCCAG
This 326-nucleotide ribosomal RNA is filed under the name uncultured bacterium. RNAcentral describes it as "bacterial SSU rRNA". It matches the Rfam family "Bacterial small subunit ribosomal RNA", at positions 28 to 334 of the family's 1533-position model. The record is from RNAcentral.